This 1418-nucleotide long non-coding RNA is filed under the name Piliocolobus tephrosceles (Ugandan red Colobus). Its description in RNAcentral is "lncRNA (ENSPTEG00000003438.1)". The record is from RNAcentral. Lineage: Eukaryota; Metazoa; Chordata; Mammalia; Primates; Cercopithecidae.
AUAUGAAAAUACGAAAAUAUGAAAUUAUGAAAAUAUGAAAAUAUAAUAAAAUUAAAAAUGUACAAAUGUAGGAAUGUUCAAAAUACAAGUGAAGUAUCAGUUAACGGAUUGACUAAUAGAAUACUUCAGCGUAUAUGUGAUUUAUAUUUGAAAGAUUUUUUUUUUUUUUAUAUUUUUUUUUUUUUUUUUUUUUUUUUUUUUUUGUUAACUUAUGAUUGACUUGUGACUAAAUUAAAGUUCAUUUCAAUUCCAGCUAAAUUAUAGUUAAAUAAGAGCUUGGUUAACGUUCAGUUAAGCUAUAAUUAAAGUUAAAAAAAAUGAUAUAAAAAAUAUAUGUGGUAAUUAUAAAUUUGAAAAAUGUACAUUUUUUGAAUAAAUAUUUGUGUAUAAAAAUGUAAUGCAUAUUAAAUAUAUAAAAAUGAAUAUUGUCAUGUAUGCAUUUAUGUUUUAGGCUUUAGUUUAUAAGGUUUACGUACAGCGUAUCCAAUGUUUGCUUUGUACUGCAUUUCGAACAUGCGCGCUCCUGCAUGAUAACGAUAUAUUUAUAUCUAUAAAAACUAUAAUAUAUAUAAAUAAAUAAAUAAAUAAAUAAAUAAAUAAAUAAAUAAAUAAAUANNNNNNNNNNAAUAAAUAAAUAAAUAAAUAAAUAAAUAAAUAAAUAAAUAAAUAAAUGUAUACAAUCGUACUUAUAGCGCUUUGUAUAUGUAACGCCCAUGCUCAUACAUUUAAAAUAAAUACUUUAAAAGAUCAUUAAGUAAAUUAAAAAAUUGUAUUGACAUAUAAAAGGAAUUGUGUUUGUUUGAUGAGUGUUUCAGAACAAUGUAUUUGCAACAUUUGCGUUGGGAGAAGAAAUACAAAAACUAUAUUGCAAAAAUUUAAAAAAAAAAAAAAAAAAAAAAAAAAAAAAGUAAAAGUUUAAACAUAUGCAAUUAUAUGAUACAUGACGACUGUUUAUAAUUUUUGGAAUAUUGUUCUUAUUUUAUAUGCCAAAAACAGUAAACAUAUGCUUAUGUACAUAUUGUUUUUUUUUCUUUUUCUUUUUUUAAACAUACAGUGUUACUGUGUUGUCUCGAAGGUAGUUAUUAUUGCAAUGCAUAUAUUUUAAUCCAAUUCUGUUUUAUAUGUGUAUAUGGCGCUUCUUAUAAAGGAAUAAACUCUGUUAUUGCUAAUGUUGGUACUAUUGCUGAUUUUACAUUUAGGUGGUUUACGUUUGUCACUAUUUUAUCGUUAAUUGUGCUGUACGUUUCUUCGUUCUUUGUGGUGAACAUUUUUAUUGCCAGUUGUGUUGAACAGUUGUUUGUUUUAUUUGCUGUACAUUUGUUUGUUUUAUUUGCUGUACAUUUUUUGUUUCCUGUAGUGUAUAUUUCUUCGUUCCCUGUAGUGUAUAUUUAUUCAUUCCAUGUAGUGUAUAUUUCUUC